UAUCUGCAGCCGUCACAUGAUAGCAAAACGGUGGUAAGCAGUGCACGAGUCUGCGUCGAAGACAGCCAGAAUCCAUGCAUCGGGAGGUUCUCUCGGUUGGAGAAGGAACAAAGGGAGGACAUGCUCGGGCCAGGAGAUGCAGUUCCUCGCUCUCGCCACUAGAGGGAAUUCGUGAAGCUCCUCUCUGAAUGAGAAACCUGCCCCCCGCCCAAAAGGCAAAGCUAAGACGAUAACCCAGAGUUCACCCAGGCACAAGGUUCCUCAUAAAUAGACUCAGCCUCUCUGAAUCUCCUUCCUCAUCUGUCAAAUGGCGAUGGCAAUUAAACCCAUCUCACAGGGCUGUGAAGAUUCAUCAAGACAACAGUGGUUGUAAAACCCUUACCACACACAAAGCCUCCUUAGGGAAAACCAGGACUCCCUGACCAGCAAAGUUUGCCAGCUGACCUGAUGCUUAAGCUUGGAGCGAGAGGCAGGAUCCAUCCUCCAGCUUCCUCAGGAGGAGAAAGAUCAAAGAAACUCCACUCACCCUUCAAGACCUUGCUAAAGCAUCACUUCCUCCAGGAAGCCCUCCCUGCUCUCCCAGCCGAGUCAGCAGAAUCCACAGAACAUGCAGGUAUCUGGAAUUAUAACCAAUCAAUAGGCAGAGGGUGAGAAGACACUCUGAGUACACAUGGAGCCAGCAGGGCUUGGAAGAGAGAGAUUCCCAGGCCUCCCGUUCAUCCUAACCAUCGGAUGUCCCCAGCACUACUCUGUGACAAAGGUGAGCGGUCAGUGCAGUGGGAGAAGCAAGUGGGUCCUUCAUCACCUGGACCUCUGUUCACAGCCCGUUCCUGACGUCACAGAGCCCCUCCAUCCCCUAGGAAAGAGGAUUUUAUUUCUGGAAGUCUAAUUUUCACAGCUCACAUUUCCCACCAGAAAAACAUUUUUAGCAAAGUUGGUCCCUUGCUAGAGCUCUUCUUUUUGUAAUAGCAGAUUAUGGAGAUAGAAUUCACACACUAUAAAAUUCAUCUUUCUCAAGUGUAUAACGCAGCAGUUUGUGGCAUAGUAGCUGGGCUGUACAGCCAUUGCCACUACCUCACUGGAGCUUUGAGGAAGGAAAAAAGGUCUUCUGGGCAGUGACAGCAGUGCUUCCUGAAGGGAAAGAGGGAAGCAGGCCAGCUCCCUCCACGGGCAUCAAUCAGCUCCGUAGACUUCGAUGCACAACAGCAGUCUUCAUCUGGGGCUCAGAAAGGUGGAGGGACUCACCCAAGGUCACACAGCUGCUCAGCACAGGGAUGGUGCUCAGAAGCCAGGCCCUCUCCUUCGCGAAGCUUCUUACCCUGUCCCUGCAUGGACACUAGUGACAAUUGCCCUGCUCCUGCUGGCAGGACCACAUCUGUCUCACCCACCACCAGCUUCCUGGUACCCAACUUGAUGCCUGGCACUGGGUGGGAUCAGUGAACAUAGAAAGUGGCACCUCAUUAUUGCUUUUCUGUGCACUUUUUUAAAAAGUUGUGAUUGUUAUUACAUAAGAAAUACUGGUUCAUUAUAGAAACACUAGAAAAUAUGUAUUAACAGAAGUUGGGGGUGGAGAGAGAAAUGAAUACACAGGUCUGCACAAAAACCUGUUCUUUAGCAGCUUUAUACAGCCAUCAGAAAUUGGGACGACCUGACGGACGACUACUUGGCAAUGCAGACCUACAGACCGAGCUCCGGGCUCAGGCAUCACGCAGCUGGCUCCCCAGAGCGUUAGGUUAUAUAGGAGUUGCCUUUGUAAGUCAGUCUGGAAAAGGCAAAACUGUCGCAACAGAAAACAAAUCAAUGGUUGACUGGGGCCAGGGGACCCUUCUCGGGUGAUGGUGUCUGGGUCUUAACCAUGGUGGUGGUGACAAGCUUGUAUACGUCAGUCAGUCACACUUCAAAAGGGGAGAAACCGGGCUUCCCUGGUGGCGCAGUGGUUGAGAGUCCGCCUGCUGAGGCAGGGGACACGGGUUCGUGCCCCGGCCCGGGAGGAUCCCACG
Mesoplodon densirostris (Blainville's beaked whale) is the source of this 2000-nucleotide long non-coding RNA. RefSeq lists it as uncharacterized. The transcript is spliced from 5 exons. The record is from RefSeq and is a predicted model, not a curated record. NCBI's taxonomy places the organism in Eukaryota, Metazoa, Chordata, Mammalia, Artiodactyla, Ziphiidae.